GAUCCUGGCUCAGAAUCAACGCUGGCGGCGUGCCUAACACAUGCAAGUCGAACGUGAAAGGGGCUUCGGCCCUGAGUAAAGUGGCAAACGGGUGAGUAACGCGUGGGUGAUCUGCCUUUGAGUGGGGGAUAACCUUCCGAAAGGAGGGCUAAUACCGCAUGACAUCCUGUUCUUGGAUGAACGGUGAUCGAAGCUGGGGACCGCAAGGCCUGGCGCUUGAAGAGGAGCCCGCGCCCGAUUAGCUAGUUGGUGGGGUAACGGCUCACCAAGGCUCCGAUCGGUAUCCGGCCUGAGAGGGCGGACGGACACACUGGAACUGAGACACGGUCCAGACUCCUACGGGAGGCAGCAGUGGGGAAUUGUUCGCAAUGGGCGCAAGCCUGACGACGCAACGCCGCGUGGAGGAUGAAGACCUUCGGGUCGUAAACUCCUUUCGACCGAGAUGAAUUCCCGCCGACCUAACACGUCGGCGGGGUGACAGUAUCGAGGGAAGCAGCCCCGGCUAACUCCGUGCCAGCAGCCGCGGUAAUACGGGGGGGGCAAGCGUUGUUCGGAAUUACUGGGCGUAAAGGGUUCGUAGGUGGCCGGCUAAGUCAGACGUGAAAUCCCUCAGCUUAACUGGGGAACUGCGUCUGAGACUGGUCGGCUCGAGGGCAGGAGAGGAACGCGGAAUUCCAGGUGUAGCGGUGA
RNAcentral lists this ribosomal RNA (690 nucleotides) under uncultured Acidobacteriota bacterium. Its description in RNAcentral is "bacterial SSU rRNA". It matches the Rfam family "Bacterial small subunit ribosomal RNA", at positions 15 to 684 of the family's 1533-position model. Lineage: Bacteria; Pseudomonadati; Acidobacteriota. The record is from RNAcentral.